RNAcentral lists this small RNA (232 nucleotides) under Nannospalax galili (Upper Galilee mountains blind mole rat). RNAcentral describes it as "7SK RNA (ENSNGAG00000007878.1)". It matches the Rfam family "7SK RNA", at positions 1 to 247 of the family's 331-position model. Rfam says of the family: 7SK was discovered as an abundant small nuclear RNA in the mid-70s but a possible function has only recently been suggested. The record is from RNAcentral. Lineage: Eukaryota; Metazoa; Chordata; Mammalia; Rodentia; Spalacidae.
GUAUGUGAGGGUGACAUCACUCUUUUGAUGCCAGGUUGAUUUGGAUAAUGUGACUUUACCAUUUCCUCUCUCACUACUUCAUGUGUAUCUCUUUGGAGUUGCACACUCAAAUCAAAGAGGAUGCCCUUCCCUAAUAAAGGGAAACCACUCUUGGGUCAAGCAUAUAUGAAAAGCUGUGUUUCUCUGCUGAACCUCCAAGUCAGCUCUAAAUUCCAGAUUGGCUUCCAGAUUU